This 89-nucleotide transfer RNA is filed under the name Streptomyces anulatus. RNAcentral describes it as "tRNA-Arg". Lineage: Bacteria; Bacillati; Actinomycetota; Actinomycetes; Kitasatosporales; Streptomycetaceae. The record is from RNAcentral.
GAGGUUCGGCACGGUGGCCUGAGCCCGGGCGGUUCCGGGCCGCCCGCCGCGGCGCGGCCCCGCGGGCGGUUCGGGCCGCCGGACUACUC